Long non-coding RNA from Amphiprion ocellaris (clown anemonefish), 829 nucleotides. The record is from Ensembl. Lineage: Eukaryota; Metazoa; Chordata; Actinopteri; Pomacentridae.
UAUUUGACACAUCUAUCUAAAUCAAAAUUUUAAUAAUUUUCACGCCAAACAUUUACUGGACUGAUUUAAGCAUUAAAAUCACUCCUUUCUAAUCCUCUGCUGUACAUUCAAACCCGAGGCCUUAAAUAGAAACACACAAGUAUCUGAUUGAAGGAACUUCUGUAGAGUCCUGGUUCCAGAACAUGAUGAUGGAAUUAUAGACAAACUUUAACAAAAGCUGCCUGAGAGUUUACAGGUUUUUAUGUUGGAUUUCUUCAGUAAUUUAAUGAGAGUUAUCAGCAAUAAUCAAGUGUUCAUUUGAUGAACUUCAUUUCCUGAAACAUCCAGAAUUGGAGCUCAUAUCUUUGGCAGCUGUAAAGUUUCUGCUCCUUCAAAGUUCACAACACAAUGAAUUAAUUCCUAAAACACUCUCAAUGCUGGAGAGCGUUUGAUGCUGAAGCACUGAUCAGUUUUUCUGUUUCUUCUCUGGAGAUGCACAAUGAGGGACGUCUGCAGAGACUGAGAAAGAGUCUCACCACAUCCUGACAUGAGGAAAGAGACUUUAUUGAAGACUACAAUGAGAAAAACUAUCAGACAGCAGACGGCUGCAUUCAAGAGAAGAAGACCAUCAAACAUCCACGUCAGCUGAUGGAGGUCCAAGAGUCUCACCGAACAACCAACCUACAGAGUGAAGACCUUAAAUCUGAUUGGACAGCCUCCUAUUCAGCCACAUUUUAGGCUGUUAGAUUGUUCCAGAUAAGACAAGUACAAGAUUCUUCAGAGCCGUUCUACCACGAGCCUGACAGGAAGAACUCCAACAGCUACUGAAUGUUCCUGUGGUCCCCUCAAG